GAGAGGGUGGGAAUUAUAUACGGAGGAAUAUAAUGGGAAUUGUGCUGGGGUAAAUGGACCAGCAUUGCCUUCCUUUUCUUAAAAAAAAAGGCCGUCUUUGCAUGCACGGUUAAAGCAAGACCCUGAGUUUAGGAGACUCCUUCAGAGUGCACCGUCUUUUUUACAAGGGGGAAAACAUUUACAGAUGGACUGUCAUUCUUCCAGUCCCACAGGCGGUAGAGGUUGUGCUGUGACUCUCUGCCUAGCCCCAGCCUGGGCAUAUUAUUUCAAGAAAAGCAAAAAGGUUCAGGGGGCAUAACCCCUUACCGGUCCCACCCCAGAGGAGGAGCAGUUGUUGAGCAGGGUGCCGUAUUUGCCAAGGGAUCUAUUUAAAAGGGGUUCCUGAUCCUCAGGUUCCCCCAUCACUUCCUCUUGCCAGGGGAAGCUGCUGCUGCUGCUGCUUUGAUUAAUAACAUUUCUUCUUUCUCUUUUUUUUUUCUCUUUCUCUCCCCCCCCUCCCCAAUGCACUUCAGGCAGGGGGGAGGGGGCAAAGAAUUCAAGACAGCCAGGGAAUAUCGAAAUGGAUAAGAAGAAGGGCAAGGGAGCACCAUUCCUCUGAUCCCAGACUCCAGCAACGCGGGCGCAAGGUGGCACAGAAGUCCAAAGAUAUUGGGAGCUAACAAUGGUAUACAAUACAUUUCAGACAAUGUUUCUUAUCUUGGGGACUUUAAAGUGUGUGACUUCAACUCCCAGAAUUCUUCAGCCAGAGAGCAAGAACAGCAACAGAGAAAAUAUAUCUCCCAGUUUUACAGAGAGAAGCCAGACAGAGAAGUAAAUCCCUUGUUC
Long non-coding RNA from Thamnophis elegans (Western terrestrial garter snake), 825 nucleotides. RefSeq lists it as uncharacterized. The transcript is spliced from 3 exons. The record is from RefSeq and is a predicted model, not a curated record. Lineage: Eukaryota; Metazoa; Chordata; Lepidosauria; Squamata; Natricidae.